Non-coding RNA from Chiloscyllium plagiosum (whitespotted bambooshark), 97 nucleotides. The record is from RefSeq and is a predicted model, not a curated record. Lineage: Eukaryota; Metazoa; Chordata; Chondrichthyes; Orectolobiformes; Hemiscylliidae.
UUUGCUUGUCAUCCUUGCGCAGGGGCCAUGCUAAUCUUCUCUGUAUAGUUCCAAUUUUAGUAUAUGUGCUGCCGAAGCGAGCAAGGUAGCAAUAAGA